GAGGCGGUCCCAACAGUGUCCCCAUCAGCCCGAAGGCCAAGCUGGCAACUGUUGGCGUGGGUCUCGCUCGUUGCCUGACUAAACAGGAUGCUUCACAGUACGAACUGACGACGGCCAUGCACCUCCUCUCAGCUAGUCAAGUAGAGUCUUCAUCCCGACUAUCAUUCAGCUGUCUUAUCCGGUGAGAUUUCCGGCGUUGAGUCCGAUUAAACCGCAGGCUCCACCCGCUGUGGUGCUCCCCCGCCAAUUCCUUUAAGUUUCAGCCUUGCGACCGUACUCCCCAGGCGGCGCGUUUCACGGUUUCCCUUCGGCAUCUCAGUGACACGUGAUCACUGACACACCUAACGCGCAUCGUUUACAGCUGGGACUACCCGGGUAUCUAAUCCGGUUUGCUCCCCCAGCUUUCGUCCCUCACUGUCGGAGCCGUUCUGGUGAGAUGCCUUCGCCAUAGGUCGUCCCACCGGGAUUACAGGAUUUCACUCCUACCCCGGCAGUACCUCUCACCUCUCCCGGUCCCUAGAACCACAGUAUCCCCUGAACGCCCAUCAGUUAAGCCGAUGGAUUUCUCAAGGGACUUGUGAAUCAAGCUACGGACCCUUUAAGCCCAGUAAAAGCGGCCACCACUCGAGCCGCCGGUAUUACCGCGGCGGCUGGCACCGGUCUUGCCCGGCCCUUUCUUCACCAGUUUUUUACACUGGUGGACAGCCACCCUGUGGUGGCACUCGGGGUUUCCUUAUCACGGUUGCCCGCAUUGUAAAGUUUUCGCGCCUGCUGCGCCCCGUAGGGCCUGGAUUCGUGUCUCAGAAUCCAUCUCCGGGCUCUUGCUCCCACAACCCGUACCGAUUACGGGCUUGUUGGGCUUUUACCCCAACAACUACCUAAUCGGCCGCAGACUCAUCCUGAAGCGACGGAUCUUUCAUCCGGAGAACAUUCCAGUCCUCCCGGACUAUAGAGUAUUACCCCCAGUUUCCCGGGAUUAUCCUCCUCUUCAGGGCAGAUUGUCC
RNAcentral lists this ribosomal RNA (1004 nucleotides) under uncultured archaeon. RNAcentral's name for it is "partial 16S ribosomal RNA". The record is from RNAcentral.